This 208-nucleotide ribosomal RNA is filed under the name Pseudomonas syringae pv. syringae. RNAcentral describes it as "partial 23S ribosomal RNA". It matches the Rfam family "Bacterial large subunit ribosomal RNA", at positions 2740 to 2925 of the family's 2925-position model. RNAcentral also lists the same sequence under 2 other names. The record is from RNAcentral. Lineage: Bacteria; Pseudomonadati; Pseudomonadota; Gammaproteobacteria; Pseudomonadales; Pseudomonadaceae.
GCCGGGUAGCUAUGUUCGGAAAAGAUAACCGCUGAAAGCAUCUAAGCGGGAAACUUGCCUCAAGAUGAGAUCUCACUGGAACCUUGAGUUCCCUGAAGGGCCGUCGAAGACUACGACGUUGAUAGGUUGGGUGUGUAAGCGCUGUGAGGCGUUGAGCUAACCAAUACUAAUUGCCCGUGAGGCUUGACCAUAUAACACCCAAGCAAUU